RNAcentral lists this long non-coding RNA (1750 nucleotides) under Oryza brachyantha (malo sina). Its description in RNAcentral is "long non-coding RNA (OBRA_LNC003051)". The record is from RNAcentral. Lineage: Eukaryota; Viridiplantae; Streptophyta; Magnoliopsida; Poales; Poaceae.
UUUCAUCUCUCCUUCGUGGCUUUAUCAUGUGUUUGCCCUCAACUUGACAUAGAAAUCUUCUCAAAGUCGCCUAUGGCCAGGACCCUCAAGUUCGCAAGGUCACCCAUGGAUGCUACCCUUGGUCAAGUUCAUCCGAAACCAUCCUUGAGGCCACCAUGGACACAACAAUGGCGGUCAUGCUCACAAGGUUGCCAUACCUACUCUUGAUUAUGUUCUCUGCAUGUUUCCAUCCUUAAGAUUUCCUAUUGUUGUAGUUAUCACUAUCACUGAGUUCUUAAUAUUACACAUGUCCUUCAUGUUGCUUCCUUCAUGUUGUCCAUGAUUGUAGCAACUGUUAUUGAGCUUGCAAGUGGUAGCUGGCAUCAAGUUGGCUGCAGUCGACCCGACCACCAUCACCCUCUUUUAGGCAUAUUGUCAACCUAUUACUCAUGUUUAUUGCUUGCGUAAAGAAAGAAUACUCAUAUCUAUUGCUUGGAUAAAGGAACAAGAAGCGAGAGUGGAGUAGGAAAAAUGAGAGUGGUUAAUUUGAAAGAGUAAUAGUUGUUUGGAUGGAAUGUCAAAGAGAGUAACAAGGCAUUUUUGGGUGUAUUAAAGCGAAAAGGAUCCCAUGAUAUCAAGCUAAAAUCAUGCACUUUCAAUGCUAUAGAAUCAUUUCCCCCUUACUUCAUGGAUACAAGAUAUGUCUAUGAUGCAUGAGAUAACUUAGACGACUUGCUUGAAGUACUUUUGAGCCAAAAAAUUAAGAGUAAAGUAUACAACCGGUCUCUAAACUUCUUUACACAUGGCAUCUAUAUCACUAUAUUCUUAAAAUGCAUAUCUUGAUCUCAUAACUUGUCAAAGUUUAUCAUUCCGGUCACAAAAUGCCAUGAGCUCUCUAGAAUCCCACAUACAGUGAUGUAUGUCACUUCAGCCUUUUUUCUUUGUACAAUUGACUUAGAUGAAUGGAAACUAGAAAAAAGAAAGAGGAAAAUGAGAAAGAAAAAGAAGGGAAAAAAGAAAAGAAAAAUAUUUUGAGCAAGUGAUACCGCCACAAUGUUUGUUUUGGUAUGUCAUAUUAGCAAUACUUGGGGAUUCUAGAAAACUCAUGGUAGUUUAAGAUCCAGAUGACAUAUCGUAACAACUUUAACAAGUUAUUGGAUACAAUUUACGAAUAUAGGAAGCUUGCUAAUAAAUUUGAAUAAAUUUAGAAACCGGUUAUAUAGCUUGCUUAAAAAUUAAUCACAUGCAAAGCCUUAUUGCUACACUAACCCCAUAACAUAGGACAAGCUCAUACGUUACAUACUCGAUCCUCUACCCCAUGAGUAUAAGCUAUAUCUAGAGUAUAUGAGGUGGGAUGGGAUAUCAUCGUAUCAACAUCUUAAUUAUCUCGUAUGCAUGUCAUGCUCAUUUGAUUGAGAUGGCUUGCAAGCUCAAAAAAGGUUGCACCUUAAUUGGAUUUUGAGAUCUCUGAUGGAUGCAUCUGCGCGCAUCGAUGGUGUGUAUGUGACACCCAAACUGCAUGUCACAUUCGUACGUUUAAUCAUUAAACAUCCUUGAUUCGCUUGCGUUGUUUCAACCGACUAAUUAAGCAAAAAAACAAGAGGGUGAAGAAGCAAUAUUAACACUUACUUCCAUAAAUAUAUCGAUCAUAGGUACAUGGGUUCGAUCGGGUGGGGAAAAUAUCAACCGACAUAUUUAUAUCUGAAAAAUAAUUUACAAAAUAUAUAUAUAUAUAUAUAUAUAUUUCUUAGCAAUCUAAAACUAAAAACCA